This 954-nucleotide ribosomal RNA is filed under the name Actinomycetes bacterium. RNAcentral describes it as "bacterial SSU rRNA". It matches the Rfam family "Bacterial small subunit ribosomal RNA", at positions 1 to 948 of the family's 1533-position model. Lineage: Bacteria; Bacillati; Actinomycetota; Actinomycetes. The record is from RNAcentral.
AUCGGAGAGUUUGAUCCUGGCUCAGGACGAACGCUGGCGGCGUGCCUAACACAUGCAAGUCGAGCGGACCGACCCCGUCUCUUCGGAGACGGGACAGGUUAGCGGCGAACGGGUGAGUAACACGUGGGCAACCUGCCCCGAAGACCGGGAUAACUCCGGGAAACCGGAGCUAAUACUGGAUACCUUGGCCAUACCGCAUGGCAAGGCCAAGAAAGUUGCUUUGCUUCGCUUCGGGAUGGGCCCGCGUCCCAUUAGCUGGUUGGUGAGGUAACGGCUCACCAAGGCUACGAUGGGUAGCCGGCCUGAGAGGGUGUACGGCCACACUGGGACUGAGAUACGGCCCAGACUCCUACGGGAGGCAGCAGUGAGGAAUAUUGCGCAAUGGGCGAAAGCCUGACGCAGCGACGCCGCGUGGACGAUGAAGGCCUUCGGGUUGUAAAGUCCUGUCAGGAGGGACGAAGUGGCUUCGGCCAUGACGGUACCUCGGUAGGAAGCUCCGGCUAACUACGUGCCAGCAGCCGCGGUAAGACGUAGGGGGCUAGCGUUGUCCGGAAUCACUGGGCGUAAAGAGCUCGUAGGCGGUCUGUUUAGUCGGGUGUGAAAGCCCUCGGCUCAACCGAGGAAUUGCAUUCGAUACUGGCAGGCUAGAGUCUAGCAGAGGGAAGUGGAAUUCCCGGUGUAGCGGUGAAAUGCGCAGAUAUCGGGAAGAACACCGGUGGCGAAGGCGGCUUCCUGGGCUAUGACUGACGCUGAGGAGCGAAAGCUAGGGGAGCAAACAGGAUUAGAUACCCUGGUAGUCCUAGCCGUAAACGAUGGGCACUAGGUGUGGGGGGUUACCAAAUCCCUCCGUGCCGAAGCUAACGCAUUAAGUGCCCCGCCUGGGGAGUACGGCCGCAAGGCUAAAACUCAAAGGAAUUGACGGGGGCCCGCACAAGCGGCGGAGCAUGUGGCUUA